UAGGGCUUCACACGUCAUACAAUGGUCGGGACAGAGGGUUGCCAACCCGCGAGGGGGGAGGCCAAUCUCAGAAACCCGAUCGUAGUCCGGAUUGCAGGCUGCAACUCGCCUGCAUGAAGUCGGAAUCGCUAGUAAUCGCGGAUCAGCAUGCCGCGGUGAAUACGUUCCCGGGUCUU
This 176-nucleotide ribosomal RNA is filed under the name uncultured Pusillimonas sp. Its description in RNAcentral is "partial 16S ribosomal RNA". It matches the Rfam family "Bacterial small subunit ribosomal RNA", at positions 1209 to 1382 of the family's 1533-position model. The record is from RNAcentral. Lineage: Bacteria; Pseudomonadati; Pseudomonadota; Betaproteobacteria; Burkholderiales; Alcaligenaceae.